This 1343-nucleotide ribosomal RNA is filed under the name uncultured bacterium. Its description in RNAcentral is "16S ribosomal RNA". It matches the Rfam family "Bacterial small subunit ribosomal RNA", at positions 28 to 1378 of the family's 1533-position model. The record is from RNAcentral.
GACGAACGCUGUCGGCGUGCUUAACACAUGCAAGUCGAACGGAAAGGCCCUGCUUUUGUGGGGUGCUCGAGUGGCGAACGGGUGAGUAACACGUGAGUAACCUGCCCUUGACUUUGGGAUAACUUCAGGAAACUGGGGCUAAUACCGGAUAGGAGCUCCUGCUGCAUGGUGGGGGUUGGAAAGUUUCGGCGGUUGGGGAUGGACUCGCGGCUUAUCAGCUUGUUGGUGGGGUAGUGGCUUACCAAGGCUUUGACGGGUAGCCGGCCUGAGAGGGUGACCGGCCACAUUGGGACUGAGAUACGGCCCAGACUCCUACGGGAGGCAGCAGUGGGGAAUAUUGCACAAUGGGCGGAAGCCUGAUGCAGCAACGCCGCGUGCGGGAUGACGGCCUUCGGGUUGUAAACCGCUUUCGCCUGUGACGAAGCGUGAGUGACGGUAAUGGGUAAAGAAGCACCGGCUAACUACGUGCCAGCAGCCGCGGUGAUACGUAGGGUGCGAGCGUUGUCCGGAUUUAUUGGGCGUAAAGGGCUCGUAGGUGGUUGAUCGCGUCGGAAGUGUAAUCUUGGGGCUUAACCCUGAGCGUGCUUUCGAUACGGGUUGACUUGAGGAAGGUAGGGGAGAAUGGAAUUCCUGGUGGAGCGGUGGAAUGCGCAGAUAUCAGGAGGAACACCAGUGGCGAAGGCGGUUCUCUGGGCCUUUCCUGACGCUGAGGAGCGAAAGCGUGGGGAGCGAACAGGCUUAGAUACCCUGGUAGUCCACGCUGUAAACGGUGGGUACUAGGUGUGGGGUCCAUUCCACGGGUUCCGUGCCGUAGCUAACGCUUUAAGUACCCCGCCUGGGGAGUACGGCCGCAAGGCUAAAACUCAAAGGAAUUGACGGGGCCCCGCACAAGCGGCGGAGCAUGCGGAUUAAUUCGAUGCAACGCGUAGAACCUUACCUGGGUUUGACAUGGAUCGGGAGUGCUCAGAGAUGGGUGUGCCUCUUUUGGGGUCGGUUCACAGGUGGUGCAUGGCUGUCGUCAGCUCGUGUCGUGAGAUGUUGGGUUAAGUCCCGCAACGAGCGCAACCCUUGUUCACUGUUGCCAGCACGUUAUGGUGGGGACUCAGUGGAGACCGCCGGGGUCAACUCGGAGGAAGGUGGGGAUGACGUCAAGUCAUCAUGCCCCUUAUGUCCAGGGCUUCACGCAUGCUACAAUGGCUGGUACAGAGAGUGGCGAGCCUGUGAGGGUGAACGAAUCUCGGAAAGCCGGUCUCAGUUCGGAUUGGGGUCUGCAACUCGACCUCAUGAAGUCGGAGUCGCUAGUAAUCGCAGAUCAGCAACGCUGCGGUGAAUACGUUCCCGGG